Molecule: non-coding RNA, 564 nt
Organism: Paramuricea clavata
Lineage: Eukaryota; Metazoa; Cnidaria; Anthozoa; Malacalcyonacea; Plexauridae
Source: the annotation of a GenBank genome assembly
GUUUCAUCACAUCUUUCAAGACGUAUGUUUUGUGGUACUUCAAUGCCAGUGCUGAAAGGCAUUUUUACAUACGUACAGUUUAUUUAAUUAUAGUGUUCAUAUUUAUUUGUUAUGUUAUAUAUGUGCAGUUUACAUAUGUUUUGUUGUGGUGCACACCAUUUUAUAGAACCUGCAUCAGGACCCUAUUUGAAGAAACUAAACUUGGAGGGUUAGUUUUGGCUGCAGUGUAGAUACAAGGUGCAUGCUUGUUCUUGUUAGCCUAAAAAAUAUAAAAGGAGCAUUCUGACAUUCCAAUCAAAGGCCCUGGUAGGAAUAUACGAGAAACACACUGCCUUUAUCGAUAACCCAUGUGAAUCAAUCAAAACAACAUAGGCUGUUAACAACGACAUAGUUAUAGUUCUGAAAAUAGUGAAAUGUAUUAGUUUUAACAAACCAAAUAUUUUUACUACAGUAGGCAAGGGCCAUAUAUACUGAAAAGGUCUCAUAUUUUCUUUUCAAUGCUUCUGAAAGCAACAAUAACACCUACCAGAGUCAGUGACAACUACAGUAAUAGUUGACCUGCAU